Non-coding RNA from Nestor notabilis (Kea), 1109 nucleotides. Lineage: Eukaryota; Metazoa; Chordata; Aves; Psittaciformes; Psittacidae. The record is from the annotation of a RefSeq genome assembly.
GUUCCCCCCCCAAUGUCCCCGUCAGCCCCACGGUCACCCUGUACCCCCCGUCCCGGGAGGAAUUCCAAGGUCCCUACCGCAACGCCACCAUCCUGUGCCACGUCCAAGGUCCUCAACGUCCUUCCAUCCAGUGGCUCAAGAAUGGCCACGACCUCCAAGACGUUGCCAUCACCGAGACCUUGGCCAGUGGAGGCCUCUCGGUCACCAACAGCCGCUUGGUGGUCACCGAAGCCGAGUGGGCCUCGGGGGCCAUCUACACGUGCCAAGUGGAUGGGGAGAUGAGGAACAUCAGCAGAGCUCAGGAAUGUGGCUGUGAGUCCACGCUGGGGACGGGGGUUCUGGGGGGCAACCACCCCGCGGGCGUCUCGGUGGGCUUGGCCUUCACUUAUGGGCCUUCAGCUCCAAUCUUCAACGAGAAGGCGGCCAAGCUGAGGUGCCAAGUGCUCAACGUGCCCAGCAUCGAGGGGCUGGACAUCUCCUGGUGGAAGGAAGACGGCACCGAGCUGCCCACCAAGAGGUCCCCCCAUGUCCUGGAGGCCAACGGGCUCUUCAGCGUGGUGGCCGUGGCCAACGUCUGCACCACGGACUGGGACAAGGGCGAGACGUUCACCUGCAGGGUCACCCACCCCGAGCUGCUCUUCCCUGUCGAGGCCACCCUGCAGAAGGCAACCGUGAGCGACGCCAAAGCUCCCUCCGUCUUCAUCUUCCCCCCUCCAUCGGAGCAGCUUUCCAUGCAGGAAUCUGCCACCAUCACAUGCCUGGUGAAGGGCUUCAACCCUCCGGACCUCUUCAUCCAAUGGCUCCGGAACGGGGAGCCCAUUCCCUCCUCCGACUACGUGACGUUGCCGCCGGCGGCCGAAUCCCACCUUCCCGCUUCCAAAUCCCAUCUUCCCACUUCCAAAUCCCGCCUUCCCACUUCCUACUUCACCUACAGCACCUUGACGGUGCCCGGAGAGGAUUGGUCCAGCGGGAAUGUCUUCACGUGCCUGGUAGGACAUGAGAAGAUCCCAAUGCAAGUGGUGCAGAGAUCCGUGGAUAAAGCCUCUGGUAAACCCACCGCCGUCAACGUAUCCCUGGUCCUCUCGGAUAUUGCCAGCUCCUGCUAUUGA